GUUUUAAAUAGCUACAGAAAUAGCAGAGAUUAAAAUUUUGCAAGAUUUUAAUUCUGGGCAGCUUGCCAAGUAACAGGCAAAUGAGGAUUCCAGUGCCUACGGAAAUACUAACUUUUUUAUGGAAUAGAAAAGGAAGGAAAAGCAAUAGUUGCAUUUCACUUACAGACAUUCGUGCAACCGACUGUGGUCAAAACCAAUCUGGCAAAGCUGAACCGCACAGAUCCAGCAUUGCCCCUCCAGCCUUCCAAAAGGAGACUCCAGCUUCAAAGAGCCACGAGAUUGACAUCAAAGGAGCAAACUGUUCUCCUCAGGGUCCUGACACUGUGCAGGUGACAGGGCCAACAACAUUCCUGCAGGAAAACCAGAGAGGGGAGAAGUCCAGGGGAACUUUUCACCACAGGGCUUGAAGAUCAUGAUUUCAAAGUUAAGGCAAAGUCUCUUGUUCUCAUGGAGUUACUGGUUUCAGAGGACUUUUUUUGCUUAAGCACUCAAGGUGUGCAGAGCUCUUUCCCUUCUCAACAGCCACUUGCAUCAAUCUGUUUAUUUGUAAUAAAUAAGUUUUAGAAUCUGUUUUAAAAGCAGCCCUGAUGUGCAACCUGGUAAUAUGGCCUAAGUACUAACAGCUUGUGUGUUUGAUUAUAAACAUUAUAACUCGCUCAAAAUAGACUUCCAAGGGUUUGGUUGCACUCCAUGUGAACUGGGAACCUAAGACACACUUAUGGAUAGGAAAGAAAAGAGCAGAGCUCCUCUCCAGAGUUUACCACUGCAGUGUGCUGUUCUCCUAAUUUCUGAGGAGGAAUUCUGGGUAAGCAGCAUUCUUAUGCUUACCUGGUGUCUUUAA
Molecule: long non-coding RNA, 841 nt
Organism: Empidonax traillii (willow flycatcher)
Lineage: Eukaryota; Metazoa; Chordata; Aves; Passeriformes; Tyrannidae
Exons: 3
Source: RefSeq, a predicted model, not a curated record